GCAAUCCUAUAAGCUGAGAUGUGAUGCGGACCGAAAUUUCAGUAGGGAGGCGAGUGAGUUCACGCUGGCGAGAAAAGCUGCUAGUACAUCCAAAGGUACCCGUACCGGAAACCGACGCAGGUGGGCGAGGAGAGAAUCCUGAGACGAACGGGAGAACCCUUGUUAAGGAACUCGGCAAAAUGACCCCGUAACUUCGGGAUAAGGGGUGCCUGCGAGAGCAGGCCGCAGAGAAUAGUCACAAGCGACUGUUUAGCAAAAACACAGGUAUCUGCGAAAGCGAGAGCUGACGUAUAGGUGCUGACACCUGCUCGGUGCUGGAAGGUUAAGGGAACAUGUUAGAGCAAUCGAAGCAUCGAACCGAAGCCCCAGUAAACGGCGGCCGUAACGAUAACGGUCCUAAGGUAGCGAAAUUCCUUGUCGGGUAAGUUCCGACCCGCACGAAUGGUGUAACGACUUGUGAGCUGUCUCAACAGGGGGCCCGGUGAAAUUGAAGUAUGGGUGAAGAUGCCCAUUACCCGCGACUGGACGGAAAGACCCCGUAGAGCUUUACUGCAGCCUGAUAUUGAGUUUCGGUAACUGAUGCACAGGAUAGGUGGGAGUCUGAGAGACAUGGGUUUCGGCUCAUGUGGAGACGGUGUUGGGAUACCACUCUUCGGUUACUGAAAUUCUAACAUAGCUCUGUGAAACCAGAGGAUGGACAGUGUCAGGUGGACAGUUUGACUGGGGCGGUCGCCUCCGAAAGAGUAACGGAGGCGCCCAAAGGUACCCUCAGAAUGGAUGGAAACCAUUCGAAGAGCGCAAAGGCAGAAGGGUGCCUGACUGCGAGAUUGACAAAUCGAGCAGAGACGAAAGUCGGGCUUAGUGAUCCGGCGGUAUUGAGUGGAAAAGCCGUCGCUUAACGGAUAAAAGCUACCUCGGGGAUAACAGGCUGAUCUCCCCCAAGAGUCCACAUCGACGGGGAGGUUUGGCACCUCGAUGUCGGCUCGUCGCAUCCUGGGGCUGAAGCAGGUCCCAAGGGUUUGGCUGUUCGCCAAUUAAAGCGGCACGCGAGCUGGGUCAGAACGUCGUGAGACAGUUCGGUCCCUAUCCAUCGUGGGCGUAGGAGUCAUGAGAGGAGCUGUUCCUAGUACGAGAGGACCGGAAUGACGCACCACUGGUGCAACUGUUGUCGUGCCAACGGCAUAGCAGGGAAGCGAAGUGCGGAUGGGAUAAACGCUGAAGGCAUCUAAGCGUGAAGCCCACCUCAAGAAUAAGACUCCACAAUAGACCCCUGGAGGACUACCAGGUAGAUAGGUCAUCGGUGGAAGCGCUGUAAGGCGUGUAGCUUGAUGAUACUAAUCGGUCGAAAGCUUC
RNAcentral lists this ribosomal RNA (1353 nucleotides) under metagenome. RNAcentral describes it as "bacterial LSU rRNA". It matches the Rfam family "Bacterial large subunit ribosomal RNA", at positions 1543 to 2925 of the family's 2925-position model. The record is from RNAcentral.